Malania oleifera is the source of this 748-nucleotide long non-coding RNA. RefSeq lists it as uncharacterized. The record is from RefSeq and is a predicted model, not a curated record. NCBI's taxonomy places the organism in Eukaryota, Viridiplantae, Streptophyta, Magnoliopsida, Santalales, Ximeniaceae. The transcript is spliced from 2 exons.
AUUUUAUGAAAUUCCACUUUGAGUAAAUAUAUUUGUGGGUAUUACACUGACAGUUAUCCGAAGGACGGGACAAUAAGGUAGGUUCUUCAGCUUGCACCAUCGACGAGGAUUUGACGCUAGGGUUUGUGAUCGAUCAUCUCUUGGUUCUUCCAACAGCCUCAUGUGGGGUAGUACCUGGAAGAAACCCCAUUCUUUGGAGGCAGAGUGGAGCCUGCCCAGUUCAGAAUCCAUGGAUUCUUCAGAUAACAAGCGUUGCAUGUCGAUGACUGGGACUUCAUGAGAGGGAUCCCAUUGGAUAGCUUGCCCCUGCGCAGGACGGACGUAUCGGGGUGGAACAGUGACGCUCGACUCCUUGGCCAGCUCCUGGACACAAGGCACAGGAAGGGAUCCCCAACUCACCUGCGCAGCCGAUUCAGCCGGCUCCAUACUUCUGUAUGGGAUGGAGAUAUACGGCUCUUGUUGAUCCUUCUUUGUAUUGCUCUUGAUAAAGAGCGUUGAAGAUAGGGAUGCUCAACAAUGUCUACUCUAAAUCAAACCACCAUGAGUAAUUUUUUGGACUGUUUUGAGUGGAAUGUAUUAACGAUGGGCAAUAUUUUAUGUAUUCAUUGACUGCUGACAAGAAAAAGAACUCAAGGUGUCUUUGUACCUAAUGGUCUUUUUGUGGAGGAAGGUGUCAUGUGCCAGCUAAGACCUGCUCUGUUUGUCAUCUGAAAUUCUAUACCUAUUGGAGGUUUAUUGUCUUCUUGCA